This 539-nucleotide ribosomal RNA is filed under the name uncultured bacterium. RNAcentral describes it as "bacterial SSU rRNA". It matches the Rfam family "Bacterial small subunit ribosomal RNA", at positions 235 to 770 of the family's 1533-position model. The record is from RNAcentral.
GGCCUAUCAGCUAGUUGGUGAGGUAACGGCUCACCAAGGCUAAGACGGGUAGCUGGUCUGAGAGGACGACCAGUCACACUGGAACUGAGACACGGUCCAGACACCUACGGGUGGCAGCAGUCGAGAAUUUUUCUCAAUGGGCGAAAGCCUGAAGGAGCGACGCCGCGUGGGGGAUGAAUGGCUUCGGCCCGUAAACCCCUGUCAUUUGUGAACAAAUUGUUUCACCUAACAUGUGAAGCAUUGAUAGUAACGGAAGAGGAAGGGACGGCUAACUCUGUGCCAGCAGCCGCGGUAAUACAGAGGUCCCAAGCGUUGUUCGGAUUCACUGGGCGUAAAGGGUGCGUAGGCGGUCGGGUAAGUCUGACGUGAAAUCUCCGGGCCUAACCCGGAAACUGCGUCGGAUACUAUCCGGCUAGAGGAUUGGAAGGAGACUGGAAUACUUGGUGUAGCAGUGAAAUGCGUAGAUAUCAAGUGAACACCAGUGGCGAAGCGAGUCUCUGGACAAUUCCUGACGCUGAGGCACGAAAGCCAGGGGAGCA